AAUCAACGCUGGCGGCGUGCCUCAGACAUGCAAGUCGAACGCGAAAGGUUCCUUCGGGAACCGAGUAGAGUGGCGCACGGGUGAGUAACACGUAGGUAAUUUGCCUUUGGGUGGGGAAUAACAGCCGGAAACGGCUGCUAAUACUGCAUAAUGCAGCGGCUCGACAUCGAGACAGUUGUUAAAGCGGGGGAUCGCAAGACCUCGCGCCUAAAGAGAAGCCUGCGGCAGAUUAGCUAGUUGGUAGGGUAAUGGCCUACCAAGGCGACGAUCUGUAACCGGCCUGAGAGGGCGGUCGGUCACACUGACACUGACAUACGGGUCAGACUCCUACGGGAGGCAGCAGUCGGGAAUUUUUGGGCAAUGGGCGAAAGCCUGACCCAGCAACGCCGCGU
RNAcentral lists this ribosomal RNA (392 nucleotides) under uncultured bacterium. RNAcentral's name for it is "bacterial SSU rRNA". It matches the Rfam family "Bacterial small subunit ribosomal RNA", at positions 32 to 402 of the family's 1533-position model. The record is from RNAcentral.